UACAGAGGGUGCAAGCGUUAAUCGGAAUUACUGGGCGUAAAGCGUGCGUAGACGGUCAUGUAAGUCGGGUGUGAAAGCCCCGGGCUCAACCUGGGAAUUGCAUUCGAGACUGCAUGGCUAGGGUGCGGAAGAGGGAAGCGGAGUUUCCGGUGUAGCGGUGAAAUGCGUAGAUAUCGGAAGGAACACCAGUGGCGAAAGCGGCUUCCUGGUCCAGCACCGACGUUCAGGCACGAAAGCGUGGGGAGCAAACAGG
This 253-nucleotide ribosomal RNA is filed under the name uncultured bacterium. RNAcentral describes it as "partial 16S ribosomal RNA". It matches the Rfam family "Bacterial small subunit ribosomal RNA", at positions 524 to 776 of the family's 1533-position model. The record is from RNAcentral.